AUCGCUUCUCGGCCUUUUGGCUAAGAUCAAGUGUAGUAUCUGUUCUUAUCAGUUAAGUUUAACGGAUGUUAUGGGCAGACUUCUG
Astatotilapia calliptera (eastern happy) is the source of this 85-nucleotide small nuclear RNA. Its record names the gene U2. It matches the Rfam family "U2 spliceosomal RNA". Rfam says of the family: U2 is a small nuclear RNA (snRNA) component of the spliceosome (involved in pre-mRNA splicing). Complementary binding between U2 snRNA (in an area lying towards the 5' end but 3' to hairpin I) and the branchpoint sequence (BPS) of the intron results the bulging out of an unpaired adenosine, on the BPS, which initiates a nucleophilic attack at the intronic 5' splice site, thus starting the first of two transesterification reactions that mediate splicing. The record is from Ensembl. Lineage: Eukaryota; Metazoa; Chordata; Actinopteri; Cichliformes; Cichlidae.